Molecule: ribosomal RNA, 254 nt
Filed under: uncultured bacterium
Lineage: Bacteria
Description: partial 16S ribosomal RNA
Rfam family: Bacterial small subunit ribosomal RNA
Source: RNAcentral
UACGUAGGGGGCAAGCGUUGUCCGGAUUUAUUGGGCGUAAAGAGCUCGUAGGUGGUUCGGUAAGUCGGGUGUGAAAACUCUGGGCUCAACUCAGAGACGCCACCCGAUACUGCUGUGACUGGAGUCUGGUAGGGGAGUGUGGAAUUCCCGGUGUAGCGGUGAAAUGCGCAGAUAUCGGGAGGAACACCAGUGGCGAAGGCGGCACUCUGGGCCAGUACUGACACUGAGGAGCGAAAGCGUGGGUAGCGAACAGG